GCGUGCGAUCAUACCAGCACUAAAGCACCGGAAUCCAUCAGAACUCUGCAGUUAAGCGUGCUUGGGCGAGAGUAGUACUAGGAUGGGUGACCUC
Molecule: ribosomal RNA, 94 nt
Filed under: Buchnera aphidicola
Lineage: Bacteria; Pseudomonadati; Pseudomonadota; Gammaproteobacteria; Enterobacterales; Erwiniaceae
Source: RNAcentral